This 539-nucleotide long non-coding RNA is filed under the name Arachis ipaensis. RNAcentral describes it as "long non-coding RNA (AIPA_LNC000906)". Lineage: Eukaryota; Viridiplantae; Streptophyta; Magnoliopsida; Fabales; Fabaceae. The record is from RNAcentral.
CCAAACCACUACCAAAUCAAAUAAUUACUUAUUGUAAUAGAAAUCAGAAGUUGCAGAGUUUGAAGAAGAGUAUUGGUGUUGUGUGAGUGUAUUGUCUGGUGGCGGGUUUAGGGAACUCACGGCGGGGACAAAAGAGAGCAGUUCGACGGCUGAGUGGAGCGCGCGGGUUGGUGGCAGAGUUUGAAGCAGAGCAACGUGGCUUCCAGACGAACGCGAACUCGAACGGUGAACAGCGAGUGAACGCGAACGGUGAACGCCGAGCGAACGCGAAUGGCGAAGAACGCGAACGAAGACGCGAACGUGAACGGCAAACAAACGGCGACGGAAGCGCGGCUGAGCAGACAAAGACAACGGACGCCGAGCUCGAGGAAGCAACCGCGAUCGGUGACAGCGAACAGGGGUUGAAGAUUUGGAGCACGAGGGAAGCUAGAUGACGGAUGGCGAACUUUGAGUGCGACGAACGGCGGCAGUAUGCCACUCCUUGUGGCGGUGGUGUAGGCUUACAGUGCUAGGGUUUUGUGGUUGGGUUUGGGUGAUUU